AUGAAUUCCUUGUAAUGGAAGAAUAUGAAAUUGCUAAUAUCGGGUGUUCUCUUCACAACAAAAAAAAAACAGAAAUAUUUGUAAUUCUAUGAAAUCAUAACCUAUGAUGCUAACAUCCAAAGAAAAGAGAAUCACCAAAUGCACUCCUAAAGGAAGAAUAUAACAUUCAACUAAUCUGUGCCAAAAAAAAGCAAGUCUCCUCGAAAAACCUCUGCAAAACUGAAGGUGGCACAAGCACACAACGAUGUCCAUUACUAAGAAAUAGGAUAUGACACUAGUCACACAGGAUAGCAGCUUAAAUAUUUUCGCACGUCUUAUAACAGCUAAAAGAUGGAGAUAGAACCAACACCAGGAUGAGAUACCAUAAAAGCCUGAUUCUAUUGUUGAUAAUGACCCUUGAUUAGUUGAGAGUUUGAAGUAUUUGCUGAGGUUGUAUAGUUGUUUGGCAAAAUAGUUGCUAAGUUUAGUCGAUCAGAUGCAUGUGAAAAGCUGUUUUAGCGGGCCAUUUGGUCAAGCUGAGUGAAUAUAAU
Molecule: unclassified non-coding RNA, 530 nt
Filed under: Hevea brasiliensis (rubber tree)
Lineage: Eukaryota; Viridiplantae; Streptophyta; Magnoliopsida; Malpighiales; Euphorbiaceae
Source: RNAcentral